RNAcentral lists this long non-coding RNA (270 nucleotides) under Panax ginseng (ginseng). Its description in RNAcentral is "long non-coding RNA (PGIN_LNC002038)". Lineage: Eukaryota; Viridiplantae; Streptophyta; Magnoliopsida; Apiales; Araliaceae. The record is from RNAcentral.
GAGCUUAAGCUUAAACAUUCUUUAAUUGUAGUUCACAUAGAGAUAUAGUGAGUUGGUUGAUUUAGGUGUUUAACGGAUUUCUAUCUUAAUUGUGGAUUGACGUUAAUACGGUAUUAGUGCAUCAAGAGGUGGCUAGUAUUACUUUCGUGUUCUUGAUUAAUAAACUGGGAUAUUAAAUUGAGUUGGAAUAACGGUUUGCAAAUCAGAGUGAAGCUCCGAGUGAAAUCAUAAGUCUAGUUCUCCAUUAAUUGUUUGAAAUUCCGGAUUUUG